GAUGAACGCUGGCGGCGUGCCUAAUACAUGCAAGUCGAGCGAACAGACGAGGAGCUUGCUCCUCUGACGUUAGCGGCGGACGGGUGAGUAACACGUGGAUAACCUACCUAUAAGACUGGGAUAACUUCGGGAAACCGGAGCUAAUACCGGAUAAUAUAUUGAACCGCAUGGUUCAAUAGUGAAAGACGGUUUUGCUGUCACUUAUAGAUGGAUCCGCGCCGCAUUAGCUAGUUGGUAAGGUAACGGCUUACCAAGGCAACGAUGCGUAGCCGACCUGAGAGGGUGAUCGGCCACACUGGAACUGAGACACGGUCCAGACUCCUACGGGAGGCAGCAGUAGGGAAUCUUCCGCAAUGGGCGAAAGCCUGACGGAGCAACGCCGCGUGAGUGAUGAAGGUCUUCGGAUCGUAAAACUCUGUUAUUAGGGAAGAACAAAUGUGUAUGUAACUAUGCACGUCUUGACAGUACCUAAUCAGAAAGCCACGGCUAACUACGUG
This 497-nucleotide ribosomal RNA is filed under the name uncultured bacterium. Its description in RNAcentral is "partial 16S ribosomal RNA". It matches the Rfam family "Bacterial small subunit ribosomal RNA", at positions 28 to 507 of the family's 1533-position model. The record is from RNAcentral.